GAAAUGCGAUAAGUAAUGUGAAUUGCAGAAUUCAGUGAAUCAUCGAAUCUUUGAACGCACAUUGCACCCUCUGGUAUUCCAGGGGGUAUGCCUGUUCGAGCGUCAUUACAACCCUCAAGCACUGCUUGGCAUUGGAUGACACCUGUUGUGGUGCGUCUCAAAAAUAUGGGCAGUAGCACUCAGCUUCUAGUGUAGUAAUUUUCUCGCUUUGGAGUUUUGGGUGUCUAGCUGUUAGAACCCCUAAUUUUUAAAGGUUGACCUCGGAUCAGGUAGGGAUACCCGCUGAACUUAA
RNAcentral lists this unclassified non-coding RNA (292 nucleotides) under uncultured Leotiomycetes. RNAcentral describes it as "sequence contains ITS1". The stretch from base 1 to 105 matches the Rfam family "5.8S ribosomal RNA", at positions 50 to 154 of the family's 154-position model. The record is from RNAcentral. Lineage: Eukaryota; Fungi; Ascomycota; Leotiomycetes.